UGAAGCUCAGCCCUGCUGCCCGCCCGGGGUGCGCGGGGUCCGCUCCUGGGCCCUGCUGCGCGGGCUGCGAAGGGGAGCGCGUGUGCUUCCUCCGUCCCCACGAGGAGGGCGGCAGGUAGAGGGCUCGAGAGGCUCCGCUGAGCGCUCGGUGGUCUGUAGGGGAAGCGCCGGGGGAACGCGGCCCCUCGUGUCCAGGAGACAAACCUCCGCUUCUGGAGUGAGGGCGGCUGUUCCGCUGCGGUUCGCGUCCCUGCUCUGCAAUUUGGGUCCUGCUGAUAGUGGUUUCCUUCUGCCCAUCUCUCGCUCCCCGGUUAGCAUCCCUCCGGAUAAGUGUGCCUGUAAUCACAGCGCUUGCCAAAGCUCCUGCUUCUUCCGAGCGUUGUUGCAGCGCUCCUGUAGGACAGACUGCACUUCUGCUUACUAAGGAUGCUAGGUCUUCAGUGGCAUUGACUUCUUUUAACAGCAAAAAAAAACAAAACAGCUUUUAAACUGGAACAGGAAGAGACCCUGAGCUAUUCUGGGCAGAGGCCCGUUGUGGGCAUGAGAUUGGUGUGUCUGACCCCAUGUCCAAACUCCUUUCCUUUCCGAGACCUGCUCAGCAUUAGAAGCAUUGAACAAGCAGCAUUUAUCAGGCCCGGUCCUUCAAGCUCAUCUUUCUUCAUUCUGACCAAGCCCUGAAAGGCAGUGUGAACUGGAAGAAGUUGCCCAGAACCCUCUUUAAAGGUGUGUGGUUGGGCGAUGAACUGGCAGAGCUGUGCAGAUGUGUGUGUUCCCUUGGCAGAUGUCAAAGCCUGUCAGAAGCUGCUUAUCUGAGCUCUUAUAGCACCUAACUUCUGUGGCUAUUCCUUUUAAUAGCAUGUAAGCUACAAAUAAAGCUUCCACUUAUCUUCUAAAAUAAACAUUUAUGCAGGGAAUGUCCUGUGUUCCAGUAUUUUAUUGCUGUAAACCAACCCAUUACCUCUCCGUAGUGAAACGAUGUUGUCAGUUCUGUAGCAGUGAACUCAGUGAAGGCCUUGAGCCACUUUGUGAGAAGUGCUUUAUUUCUUUAUGUGUGGCCUUUACAAAUGGUUUUACUUCAAGUAUUACUUGGAAAGCGUGACUUUGUUUAGUGAAUUAAGCUGCCAGAUGGUUACUCAUUUACUUUGUGGUGAGCCACCUGCAUAUGACAGUUUCUUGCAGAGUGUUUUCUGGUUAAUGAAGUCAUUUUGUAGCAGAUCCUAGAAUACUAAUAUAUACAGAAUGAAUCAUCAUACAACCAUUAGUAAGUCUGAUGGAGAAAAAAAAAGACACAUUUUAUUUGCCAGAUUGAAUUGUUUUUUCUGUUUUAAGUCUACUCUUAAGAAAACGGUUGUAGAAAAGCAGGUAGGGUGAGAAAGUGUAAUUACUGGCAUGGGAAAAAUGAGACCUGCCUGUCUUUCAAAUGAUUUAAUCAAGAAGUUAAAAGAAACUGUUUCAAGUUUUGCUCUGCAUUCUUCUUAAAACAUCCUUUGCCUAGAUUAUCUUCUCUGAAAGCGAAAGCUUUUGUACAAUUAAAUAUAAACAUGGAAGGUUACAUUAUGCUAUGUCAUAUAACAUAGGGCAGCAUGACAAACCAAACAGUUGUAGUCUUUAACAUCUGUCCAUCCUCCAACAAGGAAGGCAGUAUUGAAAAUUUUCCAUGCUUGAAUAUGAUACUGGAAGCUUUCUGCGGCAGUGCUGAUGCUGAAAGCUCCACAUAAGAGUACUGCUUUUCAAAAAGUUGUCAGUCCCAAAGCUGUCUUUCUCAAGAACCAUCAUACUUGGAAAAGCAUUUCUCUGUGUGCUCAGUUCCACAAUAAGCUGUCACUCUUUUUUCAUUAUACCAUACUGUUCCUUCUCAGACAAAACCACAAAUUCUGUCUCAAGAGAUUCCGUCGCUGCUUCUUUUCUAAAGCAGUGAUCUAUGCAGUUUUGACUUUGGUCAGUCCGUGUGGUUAAUUUAUGGAUGACAGUUGUGGGUAAGCAGCACAAACUCCAGGACUUCAGGCUUACUUCUAGUUGAAUAAUUCAGCUCAUGAAAUGACUGUUAAGUUUUAUAGUUCCCUGUUUUCAAGUCAUUUUGUGUUUCUAAUCUGCUCCACAAUUGCAAUUCUGAGUGCUAUUGUUAACUUCACUUAAUCUUCAGUAAACUGUUUGCAGAAAGAUAAGCAGUGCAGUGCCUAGAAAGAUUGGGUAGAAAGAGAAAAAAAGAACAAGGGGGCAAGAGUAGGUUACAGCACUGAGAAAUUGGUUUAAAGAAAAGUGUAUGGUGGAUAACAAAAAUGAGCGAGUAUAAUAGUCAGAGUAUAAUAUAAUACUCCUAGCUUCUGAGACCACUGUCUUCAGCUUUUUUGAAUAUUGUUAUUAGGGAAUAAAGUGAUGAAAACCUUUUCUUUGAAACUUAAUUAAUGUUACAAUCAACAGAUCUGUUCUGCUUGGAACAGAUGUGAUUCAGAUGACGGAACUGCAGACCCAAUUGCAUGACCAAAACUCAGACCAAGCUUUUAUUCUGGCAUAAGCUUAUAUAUGAUGGCAGUGUCAGUUUAAAUUCAUUCCUCUGUAUGAAGCGGGCCUAUUGUCUCUCCCCAGAGACUCUGCUGUUACCUAAAUUCCUGUAUGGAGUGCACCAUAACAUAGCAUUAAUAGCAGUGAAAUUGGAAAGAAAUCAUUCUUGAUUAAUUGCAGUCUGCAGCUGAAAUGGUUUCUCUUACAGAUGUGAGAAGUCACUGUUUACUGGAUGAAUAAUGAAAGUGAGUUAUAACCACUCAUGCUUUUAAUAUCCCCUAACUAACUUCACAAAUAGCAAUGCAAACUGUUGAAUGGCAAAGCAAAUUUAGCUUUAGAUUAUCAGAAUUUUUUGUUGUAGGAAAUUCAAAGUUUAAAAUCCAAGACAUUAAAAGCAUUUAAAUAGGUCGCUGCUUUAGAAGUCCGUUUCUACUGAGAGUUACGAGGUCUACAGACAACAACUAUGUUUUUGGGCCUAUUUCAUACGAGUGUCUCUUGCGCUUGAUGUAGGAGCUGUAGGAUUAAAAGCAAAAUAUAGGACAACCUAAGCUGUUGCUUAUCUAAACUCAAAGCAACACUCCAUUUGCUUUAGUGUUCGAAAUAUAAGCAGUUAUUUUCUUUGUACUUUGAUAAAAACCUAUGUAACUGCAGUAGGCCAAAAGUUCUCCAAGCUGAUGUGUCUACCAAUAAGGAAUUAUGUCUAGAGUAACAUAUUGGAUAUUAGAACUUUUCCCUUUUUUUUUUUCCCCCCGUUGGUAUUGCACGGACACGAUAUAUAUUUUAUAAAAAUGAAAUAUAUUUACACUCUAAACAUUACAAUUUUAUUACAUGUGCUACGGUAAAGCCUGCAUAACCAGUUAAGCAGCUUGUAGGCAAACAGUGGCCUUGGUAGUCCAGUCUGUUUUACUCUGAAAGUUCAGUAACUUGUUUUGACUUUGUUCUGUGUACCAAAUACUUAAAACAAAGACAGCCUGCAUUACACAGUACCAGGGACAGCUGCAGAGCAGAGUGAAACUGAAGUGGUCAUAUGAUAGGAAAUAAACACAACAAAUCUCUCUUGGUACUGAUGCAGAUAAUACUGGGAACACCAGCUGUUCCUGGUCACAAUAAUUGCUAUAUUUUAGCAAACUUUUUCAAUCUUAAAUCUGAAUUUCAUUUACUUAUUUACAUUCAAAGAAAUACUCAACUCGUGUAAUAUUUUUCCCAUUUGGAUCUUAAUACACUUCCUUAUGUUUUUCUAUAUUGUUAAUCUCUUUUUAGAAAUAUGAGAAAAUAGCUUUCUUUUCCCUUCUUCAUUCGUUAGUUUCACAGGCAGUAUAAAGGGGCUUCAAACUGUGAUGUUAUAAAUGUCAGCACUAAAUUGGUUUAAAUGGGUAAAAAAACGUUUUGUUCCUUCUGCCCCCACCUCUCCGCUUCCCAAAAUUUUCAUAAACAUGGAUUUCUUUAUCCGAAAUGUAGACGAGACUUAAGUAAAAUGUAAUUACUGCAACCAAAUGUUGCAUCAUUUGGAGGACAUUAGUUCCACGAUAUUUUUACCUCUACAUAGGAAGACAAAGGGAUGGAUUGUGUCUUGCCCUGGAGGUGUGAUAUGCAGGAAAGGGAUUUGAAGAGGCUCUCAUCCAGUCCUGCUCCUGAGGAGUCAAAGCACCUGAGUGAAAGAAGCCACUAAUGCUCAUGCUGCCAAAAAGAAGCACGUGGCAACUGAUGAUGGUUUAGAAAUGUUGAAACUUCUACAGAAUGUUUGUUUAUACUUUUUCCACUCAGAAACACUAUUUUCUUCUGAGCGCAAGAAACUUGAAAGCAAACUGAACUUGACAGCAAAAGUUGUUUUCUACUUAAUUGCUGUUCUUAAAUCUUUUAGGAAAGAAAAGAAUACAGGGAAUUGACAGAGUUGUAUACUGCGGGCCACGGGAGGAAGAAGGAAUGUGCAUUCUUCUGUCUCCUGCAGCCAAUAGAGAGAAGUGGCUGCAAACAGCCCAAUUCCUUAAAAUGUUAUUGGCUUGAUUUCAAACUUAUCUUUGCAACUGUAAGGCUGGAAGGUUUAUGACUAUAAAAGCUGAGACUAACUUCAUCUUCUAAGUAAAGGAUUACAGCAUGAAAGAUGAUGCAGAAAAAUCACAAUCUAGUGAUUUCUAAGGAAGAAGCAAAAAAAAUGCUUUUGAUCAACUGCUAUGUAUUGAAUGACUGAUGACUGUAAGUACUGUACAAAUGUGAGAAACAUAGUACCCUGUGUGCUUUGCAACUACAAAACUUCUGCCUAUUGGUCUUUUGUAUGUGAGAAAUUUUGCAAAAGUUUUUAUCAGAUCCUUUCCCCAUAUUUUUCUAUUAAGAGUUUCUUUUCAAUAAUAUCAGAAAAAAAAAAACCAAGAUUUUAGUUCAAAACUAUGAUUAUACUUGAGUUUGUUGGAGUAUAACCCUUUAUCUUUUAAGCAGAGUGGACUGUACAAGAGGUCAGGAAAACACUUAAACAUAAUUUUAUUCAUUUUAUUUUUAUGAAAGUAUCCAUACUAGUAUCAGAAUUUACUUAGUUUCUGCUGACUGAGUGCAGAUAAUCAUCCUCUGAAGAAUUUUUAAAUUAUGUGCUGUAGAUUUAAGUGGAGGAAGUGUUCACCUGUUCCCAAGGAGCACUCUGUAGCUGCUGUUGAUGUGAAGUGUGUAGUCAGACCUAAAGAUGCUUACAACUGUGCUGCCAAGAUGAGGACACUACAAUGGGAUAGAGGGAUGCUGAGGUUUUCCAUUUUCCUUUGUAUAAAAAGAACUCAAAUCAGAAGAGAUCAUGAUGGUGUAAAGGAGCACUGUCGUUUCUAGAACCCAAGACAAAACUACAAAGAUAUGCAUUAUUCGAAGUAAAAAGUAAUUAAAAGACCAAUCAAAUCUAAGUUUAUAUAACUAGGAAAUUGUGCUUCUCAGAGUGUAAGAUGGUAACAGUGACUAUAUGCUUUGUUUUCCUGGUAUCAAGAGGAACCACAAGAAUUCGCUGUAAAAAUAUGAGGGUUUUUUUGCUGUCAACAUAAAAAGCUGACCCAGCUUUUUAUUUCUUUUCAAGGGAUUAACAAAUAACUCUUAAGUCAUACACAAGUGUCGGACCUAUUAUUCAUAGCUAAUCUUCUAUUAUAUUGUUAGGAAAACCUCUGGGAGUGAUGGUUUUUGACAUACAUCUCUGGUUAUUGCAUUACAUUUCAGAAA
Non-coding RNA from Meleagris gallopavo (turkey), 5688 nucleotides. Lineage: Eukaryota; Metazoa; Chordata; Aves; Galliformes; Phasianidae. The record is from RefSeq and is a predicted model, not a curated record.